This 22-nucleotide non-coding RNA is filed under the name Arabidopsis thaliana (thale cress). Lineage: Eukaryota; Viridiplantae; Streptophyta; Magnoliopsida; Brassicales; Brassicaceae. The record is from RNAcentral.
UAUCAUUGGUAGGCAAACCGGC